GACGGAGGGCGCAAGCGUUGUUCGGAAUCACUGGGCGUAAAGCGCACGCAGGUGGUCCCUUAAGUCCACUGUUAAAUCACGGGGCUCAACCCCGGAGGUGCAGCGGAUACUGAGGGACUGGAGACUGGUAGAGGCUAGCGGAAUUCCUGGUGUAGCGGUGGAAUGCGUAGAUAUCAGGAGGAACACCGGUGGCGAAGGCGGCUAGCUGGGCCAGUUCUGACGCUCAUGUGCGAAAGCGUGGGGAGCAAAC
This 250-nucleotide ribosomal RNA is filed under the name uncultured bacterium. RNAcentral's name for it is "partial 16S ribosomal RNA". It matches the Rfam family "Bacterial small subunit ribosomal RNA", at positions 524 to 773 of the family's 1533-position model. The record is from RNAcentral.